RNAcentral lists this long non-coding RNA (231 nucleotides) under Elaeis guineensis (African oil palm). RNAcentral's name for it is "long non-coding RNA (EGUI_LNC062806)". The record is from RNAcentral. Lineage: Eukaryota; Viridiplantae; Streptophyta; Magnoliopsida; Arecales; Arecaceae.
UGCAUGAAUCUUAGAGUCUAAGUAUGAUAUUUUCUAGAAUCAAAGGUUGUUAUUUUCUAUAAUUAAAGAAUUAAGUUUUUCUAUUUCUAAGAGUCCUUGUUUUAAGAGUUAAAGGAAAAUUAAUGUUGUGUCUUUCCAAAAAAAAUUGGGACUAGGAGAAUUAAUGUUGUGAGUCUUCCCAAAAGAAUUGGGACUAGAAGAAUUAAUUUUCAGGAUUGAAACUAUCCAUCU